GGGCCCACUUUGCAGCACAUAUAUUAAAAUUGAAUCAAUAAGAGAAGAUUAGCAUGGCUUCUGUGCAAGGAUGAAACACAAAUUUGUGGUGGAUUCUAUAUGUUU
Heterocephalus glaber (naked mole-rat) is the source of this 105-nucleotide small nuclear RNA. The record is from Ensembl. Lineage: Eukaryota; Metazoa; Chordata; Mammalia; Rodentia; Bathyergidae.